This 2940-nucleotide ribosomal RNA is filed under the name Triticum aestivum (bread wheat). RNAcentral's name for it is "partial small subunit ribosomal RNA". The record is from RNAcentral. Lineage: Eukaryota; Viridiplantae; Streptophyta; Magnoliopsida; Poales; Poaceae.
AUGGUGGAUCCUGAGAGAGGUAGAGAUACGCCCUCGACCGAGCAAGACCGGCGCCCCGGAGAGGGAGCGACAUCUAUCUCAGUGGGGGAGAACGGCGGUCCUGCGGAUUGUAUGGAGGUAGACGAUAUCAAAGCCUCUAGCGUGGAUCAGAACGAACCAAACCCAGGAAUGGAAAACAAGCCUGGCGCUGAGACAAUUGAUGUUGAGCACAGGGACGAGGAUGAUACCCAACCAGCGCAAGUCGUCGAAGAAGACAACAGCGCCCAAGCAGAUGAAGAUGGAUGGAUAAGACGUCAGAGGAACAAAAAAGGGAAACCAUGCAGAGCAGCAGAGGAUGGAAGCCUUGGCACAAUCGAGAGGGCGAUGGAUGAAGCUGUGAAGCUCGGAAAGAAAAUUGUCUUUGAACCAGCUGUGGGCAUGUCCUUCAACUCUGAGCAGGAGGCAUACGAGUUUUACAAUGCAUAUUCAUGGGAAGUCGGAUUUGGCAUUAAGCGUGGAAACAAGUACGUCAACGGCAACAAUUACAAAUCAAAACAAGAUAUAUUGUGCUCAUGCGAGGGCAAAGACAGUAAACAAAAUUCAAGAUCAUCCAGGACGCAAUGCCGGGCGAUGGUCAGGAUCCUACGGACCGAAGACGACGGUUGGUACUACGCCAUAGUUGUGUUGCAACACGACCACAGGAUGGCUGAAUCAAUAGGAGAAAGAAAAAUAUGGAAGUGCCACAACCACAUCGACUCAUCCGUGAAACAGCUAGUGAGUCACCUUCGUCAAAAUAAUGUUUCACUCACCAAGGUUUACGGCGUGAUGUCAGAUAUGCAUGGCCGGUAUCAAGAUGUCCCUUCUCGGAAGAGGUCUCUCCGAAGCAUGUGUGCAGCAAUAGCACACGAAUCUAGCCAGGACGACAUCAACAAAACUCUUGCUUUGUUUUCCAGCAUGCAAGCUGAAAACAAGGGCUUCUACUUUGCGGUGAAAACCGAUGAGGAAAGAAGAGUAUCCGGUCUGUAUUGGUGCCACCAGAAGAGCAGAGCAGAUUACACGUGCUUUGGCGACGUCGUGACCUUCGACACAACAUACAAGAGCAACCUGUAUGAGAUGCCGGUGGGUAUGUUCGUGGGGGUAAACAAUCACCAUCAAUGCUGUGUUUUUGGUUGUGUUGUUCUUCGCGAAGAAACGGUCGAAUCUUUCGAGUGGGCUUACACAACUUUCCUGUCGUCGGUGGAGAACAAAGCACCACAAACAUUUUUAACGGACCAAAGCAGGCAGAUGGAGCUUGCAAUAGCUGUUGUCAUGCCAACUACGACACACAGAUGGUGCAAGUGGCAUGUGUUCAAAAAUAUGAAGGAAAAGGUAGGCAAUUUGUACAGAAAGGGUUCGGAAUUCCGCAUCGAAUUUGAUAUGCUGAUCAAUGAGAUGAUGACGGUGGAUGAGUUCGAAAAAGAGUGGGAGACAUUAAUGUACACUUACGGUCUUAACAAGAACUCAUUCAUGAAGCAAGUCUACGAUGUUAGACAUAAAUGGGCAAAACCAUAUUUGAAGGAUAACUUCUGCGCAAAAAUGUGCAGCACUCAAAGAAGCGAGUGCAUGAACAAUGUUUUGAAAAGUUAUGUAGCAAGAUCAGCACCUCUGAAUAGUUUUGUUGUCCAAUUCAACAAAAUGUAUGCCGACAGAUGUUCCGAAGAGGACUAUGAGCACGCCCACACAAGCAAGGACAAGAUAGUCCUCAAACUCAAUCUACCAAUAGAACGCCACGCCUCGCGCGUUUACACAAGAGCAAUGUUUAAGAUUUUCUCAGAUGAGCUAUUCCAUUCGGGAGCAUACGAAGUGAAGGGCAAUCAGCUUGAUGGGAAGAUGAUGGUAGAGCAUGUCAACGCUGAGACCAGGAAACGCUGGUGCAAGGUCAACUAUGAAGUACAUGUAGACAGAGAAAGUGACACAUACACAUGCGAGUGUGGCAUGUUUCAGCAUUCUGGCAUUUUGUGUAGGCACAUUCUGAAGGUCAUGCUUCACGUGAAGCUGCACACCAUUCCAAACCAGUACAUACUGAAGAGAUGGACAAGAAAUGCACGCGACAAUCUACCCGACCAUCUCAAGUGCUACCAGGAGGACGCAAGUGUGCAAGUAUCACAGACAUUCAGACAUAAUCUCAUAUACGUGAAAGCACUUGAGCUAGUGAAGUUGGCAAACACUGCUGUCCCGACAUUUCAAUAUGCAAUCAAUAAGUUCCAUGAAAUGCAGGUAGAGCUGCUGAAGAUGAUUGCCAUUGGGGGGUACGAGAACACCACAACAAAGAUGAAGAGUUCCACUGGCACAGCGGCAGAUGGGGGGAGCUCGGACAAGACGGAUGCCAACUGCACACCUGAUGCUACACGUCACAAGGGACAGCAUGACGAUGAGCCUGCGGAAGACAUGGACCAAGACAUGUAUGAAGACGUGCUAGCUCCUGAAAAGAAAAGAUCAAAGGGAAGGCCGAAAACAAAACACAUGAAACCAGCAUCAGAGAUUGGUACAAGAUACACCAAAAGGAGCUGCUCGAUAUGCGGGUCAGAGGAUCACAACACCAACUCAUGCCCGUGCAUUGAAGGCGCCACAGGCGCCCCCCAAGGCCCAUAUGCUUCGGACGAUGAUGUAGCGGGGCCAGCGGUGGCAGCUGAAGAUAACAUCUUCACAUCAUCGGGCAGCAAUGCGUUUGGGCUAGAGGCGGAGGCAGAGGAAAACACAAUAAUCCGUUCAAAUCAGAGAAACAACAAUAACAAACCACGGUCCGCUCCCAGGAAAUGCAAGAACUGCGGGCUAACUGGGCACUAUGUGAGCACUUGUCCGACAUACAAUGGCCCCAGGAAGCCACCCAAAGAGGUCAGAUGCACAAAGUGCAAGCUUGGGGGUCACUACCACACCACUUGCGGCGGCGACACAACCUACAAGCGCAAGCAUGAUCCUUAG